RNAcentral lists this ribosomal RNA (449 nucleotides) under uncultured bacterium. RNAcentral's name for it is "bacterial SSU rRNA". It matches the Rfam family "Bacterial small subunit ribosomal RNA", at positions 355 to 796 of the family's 1533-position model. The record is from RNAcentral.
UGGGGAAUUUUGCGCAAUGGGCUAACGCCUGACGCAGCAACGCCGCGUGGAGGAUGAAGGUCUUUGGAUUGUAAACUCCUGUCGGCAGGGAAAAAGCGACUCGACCUAAUACGUCGGGGAGUUGAUUGUACCUGCGGAGGAAGCCCCGGCUAACUCUGUGCCAGCAGCCGCGGUAAUACAGAGGGGGCAAGCGUUAUUCGGAAUUAUUGGGCGUAAAGGGCGCGUAGGCGGCUUGGCAAGUGGAAGGUGAAAUCCCUCGGCUUAACCGAGGAAUUGCCCUCCAAACUGCUUUGCUUGAGGCCGGGAGAGGCGAGUGGAAUUCCCAGUGUAGCGGUGAAAUGCGUAGAUAUUGGGAGGAACACCAGUGGCGAAGGCGGCUCGCUGGACCGGUUCUGACGCUGAUGCGCGAAAGCGUGGGGAGCAAACGGGAUUAGAUACCCCCGUAGUCC